GAGGAUGACGAGGAGGAGGAGGAGGAGGAGGUGGACAUGAGUUCACUCACGGGGAUGCUGAGGUUUGUUAACCAGACGUUAGCCAUGCAGGAGGAUCCUUCUUUAUGGAGCUCCAAAGGGCUUUCACAGACCGGACGCAUGCUCACACUCCAGAGGGACGUGAAGGAGACAUGAAGCUGUGUGGCCAUUGAGGCGUCGGAGAAGAGAGGAGCUGUUUACAUUGGUGUCAUGCGUUUGUCAGGGUUCAUGCAAUAUGCAUUCCUUAACAUCUCGUCAUUCAGUCUGUCCUGUUGGUGUGUAUUAUUGAAAUCAAGCUGCAAUACUGUGUGUCAGGGAAAAGAUAAAUGAUGAGUUUAGAUCACCACUACUCUGUAAAUCAUCGACGGUGAUGUUGUUUCAUGCUGUAGAAAUGUAACAUUUCAUGUUGAAUCUUGCCCUAACCUAAUAUUUAUAUAUAUAUUCUGCACCAUUUUAAAUAAGUUAAGUGAAUAAAAGAUGUUUUUAUAGAA
Anarrhichthys ocellatus (wolf-eel) is the source of this 509-nucleotide long non-coding RNA. RefSeq lists it as uncharacterized. NCBI's taxonomy places the organism in Eukaryota, Metazoa, Chordata, Actinopteri, Perciformes, Anarhichadidae. The transcript is spliced from 2 exons. The record is from RefSeq and is a predicted model, not a curated record.